ACGAAGGGCGGGCAAGCGGGCGGGGUAAACGGGGGGGGGGAAGGGUGAAUGGGAAUUGCUGGGCGUGAAGGGAACGUAGGCGGGUUUCUAAGGCGGAUGUGAAAUCCCCGGGCUGAACCGGGGAACUGCACCUGAUACUGGAAGACUAGAAUGUGGGAGAGGAGGGUGGAAUUUCCGGGGUAGCGGUGAAAUGCAUAGAGAUCGGAAGGAACACCAGUGGCGAAGGCGGCUCUCUGGACCAACAUUGACGCUGAGGUGCGAAAGCGUGGGUAGCAAACAGGAUUAGAUACCCCAGUAGUC
This 300-nucleotide ribosomal RNA is filed under the name uncultured Vagococcus sp. Its description in RNAcentral is "partial 16S ribosomal RNA". The stretch from base 52 to 300 matches the Rfam family "Bacterial small subunit ribosomal RNA", at positions 547 to 795 of the family's 1533-position model. The record is from RNAcentral. Lineage: Bacteria; Bacillati; Bacillota; Bacilli; Lactobacillales; Enterococcaceae.